This 687-nucleotide ribosomal RNA is filed under the name Triticum aestivum (bread wheat). Its description in RNAcentral is "partial small subunit ribosomal RNA". The record is from RNAcentral. Lineage: Eukaryota; Viridiplantae; Streptophyta; Magnoliopsida; Poales; Poaceae.
AUGAGUAGUGACUGGGAAGAUAUUUUUCCUCAAGUGAACAUUAGAAAGUUGGUUAGAUAUGUCUCAGACCAUAAUGCUCUCCUGCUGUCCUCUAACAAUCAUGUUGUCAGAAUUCCACAGACAAGAGAGUUUAGGUUCGAGCUUAGCUGGCUUAAGACAGAGGAAUUUCUCCCUUUGGUUGAGAAAAUCUGGAACCAAUAUGUAAAAGCCACUGACCCUAUUGAUAUUCUAAAUAUCAAGUUGAAGCGGUUUAAAAAAUUCUUUAAAGGGUGGGGCUCAAAUAAGUUUGGCUAUGAGAGGAUCAGGAAGAUGAGCAUUAGAGAGGAGUUGAGAUGUAUUGAGGAGGAGGAAGAGAAGGGGGAGGUAGACCCCGAUGUUUUCUGCAGGAAAACAGAACUUCUAGUGGAGUUAAAUGAAAUCCUAGUUAAUGAGGAACUGUUUUUGCUACAACAAUCUAAAGAACGAUGGUUGCUUAAAGGAGAUAGUAACACUGCCUAUUAUCAAAAGAUUGCGAAUGGUAACAAGAGGAAAAACACCAUACAUUCACUGAAUGUUGGUGAUGAUGUGGUCGAAGGAACUGAUAAUCUUUUAAAGCAUGCUACUGACUUUUACAAAUCCCUUUUGGACCAGCCCCUGGAAACAUGUUUCAAUUCGAUCCUAAGGUAUGGGGGGAUAAUGAGAGAUUAG